RNAcentral lists this ribosomal RNA (158 nucleotides) under Rhizopogon parksii. Its description in RNAcentral is "5.8S ribosomal RNA". The stretch from base 54 to 158 matches the Rfam family "5.8S ribosomal RNA", at positions 1 to 104 of the family's 154-position model. From Rfam's summary of the family: 5.8S ribosomal RNA (5.8S rRNA) is a component of the large subunit of the eukaryotic ribosome. Lineage: Eukaryota; Fungi; Basidiomycota; Agaricomycetes; Boletales; Rhizopogonaceae. The record is from RNAcentral.
UCAUAGAGUCGCGACUUCUAGGAGACGCGAAUCUGUGAGAUAAAAGUUAUUACAACUUUCAGCAAUGGAUCUCUUGGCUCUCGCAUCGAUGAAGAACGCAGCGAAAAGCGAUAUGUAAUGUGAAUUGCAGAUCUACAGUGAAUCAUCGAAUCUUUGAA